This 458-nucleotide long non-coding RNA is filed under the name Brassica rapa (field mustard). RNAcentral's name for it is "long non-coding RNA (BRAP_LNC007315)". Lineage: Eukaryota; Viridiplantae; Streptophyta; Magnoliopsida; Brassicales; Brassicaceae. The record is from RNAcentral.
AAGAGGAUAUAUACUAUGUAUCGCCGCGUGGCAGAGGAGCAUUAAAAGAGAGUAGAGGAUGAUAAUUAAAUACCACUCAUGAAGCCGCUGCAUUCCAUUCCGUAGCCUGCACGUUGACCAAAGCUUAUUUUAUUUUAUUAUUUUGAAUGAAUCAACUAAAAUUUCUAAAACAGAUUAUUCGAUGAACAGGGAGAAAAAGAAGAAGAUGUUACCAUGGCAGAGGAAGAUGAGAGCUCUGGGAGAAGAAGAUGGAACCCAUCUGCAGGCAAACAACUCGACGCCUCUCGAGUUUCUUAUGUAUUCCUGUUUAGUAAAUAAAAACACGAAACUGUCAAAAAAGUAAAAAGUCGUUUGAUGUGUCCUGAAACAGAGAGACUGUGAGAGAGACCUCCUCGUAAUCAAACUUUAACUUCGUCAUGAUCCUUGUAUAUAUAUAUAUAUGCUUUGAAAUAUUCUUC